Molecule: long non-coding RNA, 1742 nt
Filed under: Bemisia tabaci
Lineage: Eukaryota; Metazoa; Arthropoda; Insecta; Hemiptera; Aleyrodidae
Description: lncRNA ENSSSA1NGG009102
Source: RNAcentral
CCCGUUUACACGACUGAAAUGUUCGCGGUUCUGAGAGCGCCCAUUCCUUCUUGGUUAGAUCCUGGUCCUCCGAAACGAAAUUUCACCCAACACCCCCCCCCCCCCCCAAAAAAAAAGAAGAGAAGAGACGGAAUCGACGGUUGUCAUGAAGUUAAAGAGAAGCUUUAGCGCUCCAGUUGUUGCAUUUUUUCAUUUUCCUCGAUGUCACGUGUUUUUAAAGCUUCUCACUAAUUGUUACCGACUUUGAGAACUGAUUAAAUAAUGAAACUUGGUAUCGGAAAUGCAUCUUUCAAUGAGGCAGGUCUUUUGUUUCACUUCGGUGGUUCACAUCCUUCCCGAUGAUAAAUCAUGAGCCUAAUCACGAUCUUUGAAACUUGAUCGAAGAGUUUCGAGGCUGCUCAUAAAAUACGUUCCGCUUAAGGGGGGAGUCGCGAAGAGAGAAGCUUACAUCGCUUUUCUGUGACGUAACACUGAUAGCGUCCGUCAUGAACCCAUUUUUCCCCCUGAAAUUCAGUAUGUUCCCCAUAGACACCCCGCGUUGUUGUGCGUUGCCGCGCCAAGGAAAAAUAACGUAUGAAUCCGUGCCAAGAAAAAAUAACUUACAGAGUAAACAAUGGCAAUGGAGCUCCCACGAUACCUUUCGCAUUUUUUUACAUUGGCAUAUUUAUUUGCCUAUUUGCUGCUCAUUCUUGCAAACUUGAAUUGCAUCGACGGGGUCAGCGAUGACGUGCCCAAAUGCCCAAAGAAUAUGAGCGAUAUUUUGAAAGCAGAAAAAGUAGUGCCUGAUGUCAUUGAUAACGUGCCAAAACACCAUAUUGACAUUGAGUAUAAUCAACACUGUUUCAUAAAUUUCGGAAAUAUGUUGAAGCCCGAGGAGGUUUAUUGGCGCACUUUUGCCAUUGAUUGGUUUUGCUAUCGAGAGCAGUAUUUCACAUUCAUGUUAGUUGGGCCGGAUGAGCCAUCGCGGGAUGCACCUACGGACCGGGAGUUUCUACACUGGUUGAUCGUGAAUAUUCCCAUCGAUGCUGUUAUUUGCGGCGAUGAAAGAGUGGAAUAUAUUCCACCGACUCCAAAAAAGACACUGGUGAGUGAAAUAAAAAAUAUAUUGUGAAAUUUGUGCUACUUUUUCAUGAGUAUUGUGAUGCCUGGGGCAAAAAGGCCUAAAACCCCACCGGUGGCUGUGGGCAGGUGGGUUUCCGCGCGCAUUUUCGGGCCGAUGGACUUUUGUCUCGGAGUGUGAGAGAGGCUGGAAAUGUGCGCGGAGGACCAUUUGUUUAGAGUUGCUAGUCGUGUUGAUGGUUUGAUCUGCGCCUCGGAGCCGAAAUUGGGCAAUUUGUUUGGGAAAACUACGCGAGAAGCGGGUCGGAUGUUGGGCGUGGACCCGAGGCUAUAAAAGUUGGGACGGGCGGAAAAGCGAGGUCUUUGGUACCAACAACGUUUGAUCUGUGAAGUUGAGUGUAUGAAGUGCGAAUAAAAGUGUAGAUUGAAAGUUUUGAGUUCUCUGUUGAGCGUUGAGCCUGAGUUGAAACCCUGAGUUCUCUCCCUUAGUUCUCCAUUUGAGCUGCGCCCCCCCCCCCUUCAGCGUCAGAACAGCGGACCCAUUACAGUAUAAGAUUUGUAGACUCACUGAUUAGCUCAGGUGAAAUUAUUUCUCAAGAAAAUUGUGCUAUUUCUGUAAUUACGUCUAUGAAAAUUGAGGAAAAAAGAAAGAAAAAACGAGACGCUAAAAGGAACAAAUACAA